AAAUUGAAGAGUUUGAUCAUGGCUCAGAUUGAACGCUGGCGGCAGGCCUAACACAUGCAAGUCGAACGGUAGCACAGAGGAGCUUGCUCCUUGGGUGACGAGUGGCGGACGGGUGAGUAAUGUCUGGGAAACUGCCCGAUGGAGGGGGAUAACUACUGGAAACGGUAGCUAA
This 172-nucleotide ribosomal RNA is filed under the name Citrobacter youngae. RNAcentral describes it as "partial 16S ribosomal RNA". It matches the Rfam family "Bacterial small subunit ribosomal RNA", at positions 1 to 166 of the family's 1533-position model. Lineage: Bacteria; Pseudomonadati; Pseudomonadota; Gammaproteobacteria; Enterobacterales; Enterobacteriaceae. RNAcentral also lists the same sequence under 1 other name. The record is from RNAcentral.